Molecule: ribosomal RNA, 468 nt
Filed under: uncultured bacterium
Lineage: Bacteria
Description: partial 16S ribosomal RNA
Rfam family: Bacterial small subunit ribosomal RNA
Source: RNAcentral
GACGAACGCUGGCGGCGUGCUUAACACAUGCAAGUCGAACGGAAAGGCCCUGCUUUUGUGGGGUGCUCGAGUGGCGAACGGGUGAGUAACACGUGAGUAACCUGCCCUUGACUUUGGGAUAACUUCAGGAAACUGGGGCUAAUACCGGAUAGGAGCUCCUGCUGCAUGGUGGGGGUUGGAAAGUUUCGGCGGUUGGGGAUGGACUCGCAGCUUAUCAGCUUGUUGGUGGGGUAGUGGCUUACCAAGGCUUUGACGGGUAGCCGGCCUGAGAGGGUGACCGGCCACAUUGGGACUGAGAGACGGCCCAGACUCCUACGGGAGGCAGCAGUGGGGAAUAUUGCACAAUGGGCGGAAGCCUGAUGCAGCAACGCCGCGUGCGGGAUGACGGCCUUCGGGGUGUAAACCGCUUUCGCCUGUGACGAAGCGUGAGUGACGGUAAUGGGCAAAGAAGCACCGGCUAACUACGUG